GGCUGGUCUGAAGGUAGUGAGUUAUCUCACUUGAUUGUUCACAGUCAGUUACAGAUUGAACUCCUCCCCCCCACUACUGCACUUGAUUAGUCUAAA
Molecule: Y RNA, 96 nt
Filed under: Propithecus coquereli (Coquerel's sifaka)
Lineage: Eukaryota; Metazoa; Chordata; Mammalia; Primates; Indriidae
Description: Y RNA (ENSPCOG00000001354.1)
Rfam family: Y RNA
About the family: Y RNAs are components of the Ro ribonucleoprotein particle (Ro RNP), in association with Ro60 and La proteins. The Y RNAs and Ro60 and La proteins are well conserved, but the function of the Ro RNP is not known.
Source: Rfam by way of RNAcentral